RNAcentral lists this long non-coding RNA (716 nucleotides) under Homo sapiens (human). RNAcentral describes it as "HSALNT0335060". Lineage: Eukaryota; Metazoa; Chordata; Mammalia; Primates; Hominidae. The record is from RNAcentral.
ACCACUCAGGGUACCUCUCCAGUUUCUCCCUGUGUUCCUCCUUCUGUGCUGCCAUGUCCUCCUCCCUCCUCAUUUGCCUUCUCUUCUGACUAGAUGUUCAUCUUUCUGGAGGCAUCUGCCAGUCUCUGGGGUCUCUUAGUCCUCAGGAGUAAAGACAGAAAGCGUCAUGUUCCUGCAAAGAGAAAAAUAAGGAAAAAAUCUGCAAAACAUUGAAGACUCAUGACCCACUUUAAAAACAUAACUGGAUACAUCACAUGAACUCAAGACCAUGACUAUGGAGGAAGAUUUAACACUUGGCAACUCUUACAACAACAACAACAGCAACAGGGAAAAACAACAACAACAACAACCGAAGAGUGCAAAAAGAACUAAUGCAUUCUCUAGGUAUGCCUGGAUGGAGCCUCUAAGACCUAACAGGAUGUCUGAGAUUCCAGGGAAGUGGCCUGUGAUCUGUCAGUAAACAAAUAAGAAGCUAAUACAGCUUUGUUGUGUUUUCUGAUUGGCAUGGUUCUGAACUAUCUCCUACUUGUAGUUGCAGACAAAGAAACAGGAGAUGAAUUACCAUGUUCUAGGACUUUGUGUUCCUUUCCAAUUCAAACUGCAAUAAGAAAUAAAAAUGGUUAGGCUUCCAGUGUGUAGAUUAUAUAACGUGUCUCCUCUCUUUUGUGGUUUUGUCUUGUUUUGUUUUUUGUCUUUUAAAGAGAAAAAUGAAUAAA